This 1121-nucleotide long non-coding RNA is filed under the name Sus scrofa (pig). Its description in RNAcentral is "lncRNA (ENSSSCG00060016896.1)". The record is from RNAcentral. Lineage: Eukaryota; Metazoa; Chordata; Mammalia; Artiodactyla; Suidae.
CUCAGGAGAGGCGAGCCUCUCAGGGCUGUGGCUGUGAACAGAUUUGUUUACGGCUUAGACGCCGACCUCUCUCAUUAGUUAUAAGUUUUCAAAUUGGCCCUUUCUUGUAUAAAUCGCCUGAAAAAAAUAUGAUUUUUAACAAGCACAGCCAUAGCCUGAUGUUAAUUAAAAAACAAAACAAAACAAAAACAAAAACACGGAAAGAUGAUGUUUAAGUCUAAAAGGAAGGGCACGGAAAAUACACUUUCAGAUAUUCACAAGUUUUCACAAAAUGUGCCCCUUUAUACAGCCCAUCAUGGAUGCUAUUCGUGGCCAGUCUUGCUCAUCCUGUUGCUUCACAGGUAAACGUUGGCACUGGGCGGCUAGAGAUGGUCUCCAGCACUCAGUACUCCCACUGCUAGUUUAGACUACAUCAAAUGCGUGAAUACUUAUGAUUGGUUCCUAUAAGAAUUGUCUACGUUUCCUAGCUGUUGUUAUAGGGUCCUUGUUCCAAUCUGAACCCUUGGAACCAAACAGCAUCUCAUAAAAUAAUCUUUCACAGUCCAGUUGAUGAUGCUAAAGUUUAAAAGACACCCACCACAGCCAUCACCACUCAGAUCUCCUCCUCACUCCUAACCACUGCCAUCUCUGUAGACCAACUGAAACCAUCUUGUUCUUUUACACAGAAGUGCAAGCAAUCUCAUGGUUUUAAGUAGUCAAUGUCAAUCCAAGUUCUCUGAUGUAUCUAUAUUUCACAUAAUAUUUUAAAGUCAUUCUGACAUUGUGCCACAUCAAAAUAUGUAUUUGAAGUAGAUCACUGAAACAUAUUUAUGCAUCAAUAAAAUGUCCUAAAGCUGUUUCCUCUUCACUAUUAGGUUUUUAUUAAAGGGUACCCUAAGAAUUAGUUAUGUACUACUAGAGGUUUUUUCCCCUCCCCUUUUUUAAUGCAAUAAGGGGUUUUAAUUUCAGAGAAACAGAUGAACAGUUUCAAGAGCCUGGUACCCAACUCUAUAUAACUCUUUCACCAAAACAAGCUUGACUUCUCCAUAUUUUAGUGGUGUUGGACUUUAUUAGUUCUCCACGAUUUUUCAGAAACCAUGUUAAUAUCAAACAGAGGUCAAAGUUAGCUUCAUAAUUUUUUU